RNAcentral lists this ribosomal RNA (379 nucleotides) under uncultured bacterium. Its description in RNAcentral is "bacterial SSU rRNA". It matches the Rfam family "Bacterial small subunit ribosomal RNA", at positions 30 to 410 of the family's 1533-position model. The record is from RNAcentral.
AUUGAACGCUGGCGGCAUGCCUUACACAUGCAAGUCGAACGGCAGCACGGGGGCAACCCUGGUGGCGAGUGGCGAACGGGUGAGUAACAUAUCGGAACAUACCCUAGAGUGGGGGAUAACGUAGCGAAAGUUACGCUAAUACCGCAUACGAUCUAAGGAUGAAAGUGGGGGAUCUUCGGACCUCAUGCUCAUGGAGUGGCCGAUAUCUGAUUAGCUAGUUGGUGAGGUAAAGGCUCACCAAGGCGACGAUCAGUAGCUGGUUUGAGAGAACGACCAGCCACACUGGAACUGAGACACGGUCCAGACUCCUACGGGAGGCAGCAGUGGGAAUUUUGGACAAUGGGGCGAACCCUGAUCCAGCAAUGCGACGUGAGCGAAG